RNAcentral lists this ribosomal RNA (641 nucleotides) under uncultured bacterium. RNAcentral describes it as "bacterial SSU rRNA". It matches the Rfam family "Bacterial small subunit ribosomal RNA", at positions 62 to 677 of the family's 1533-position model. The record is from RNAcentral.
CCUAGAUGAAUUUGGUGCUUGCCCAGAUGAAACUAGAUACAAGCGAGCGGCGGACGGGUGAGUAACACGUGGGUAACCUGCCCAAGAGACUGGGAUAACACCUGGAAACAGAUGCUAAUACCGGAUAACAACACUAGACGCAUGUCUAGAGUUUAAAAGAUGGUUCUGCUAUCACUCUUGGAUGGACCUGCGGUGCAUUAGCUAGUUGGUAAGGUAACGGCUUACCAAGGCAAUGAUGCAUAGCCGAGUUGAGAGACUGAUCGGCCACAUUGGGACUGAGACACGGCCCAAACUCCUACGGGAGGCAGCAGUAGGGAAUCUUCCACAAUGGACGCAAGUCUGAUGGAGCAACGCCGCGUGAGUGAAGAAGGGUUUCGGCUCGUAAAGCUCUGUUGGUAGUGAAGAAAGAUAGAGGUAGUAACUGGCCUUUAUUUGACGGUAAUUACUUAGAAAGUCAUGGCUAACUACGUGCCAGCAGCCGCGGUAAUACGUAGGUGGCAAGCGUUGUCCGGAUUUAUUGGGCGUAAAGCGAGUGCAGGCGGUUCAAUAAGUCUGAUGUGAAAGCCUUCGGCUCAACCGGAGAAUUGCAUCAGAAACUGUUGAACUUGAGUGCAGAAGAGGAGAGUGGAACUCCAUGUGUA